Molecule: ribosomal RNA, 1356 nt
Filed under: Lactiplantibacillus plantarum
Lineage: Bacteria; Bacillati; Bacillota; Bacilli; Lactobacillales; Lactobacillaceae
Description: Lactobacillus plantarum 16S ribosomal RNA
Rfam family: Bacterial small subunit ribosomal RNA
Source: RNAcentral
GAGUGGCGAACUGGUGAGUAACACGUGGGAAACCUGCCCAGAAGCGGGGGAUAACACCUGGAAACAGAUGCUAAUACCGCAUAACAACUUGGACCGCAUGGUCCGAGCUUGAAAGAUGGCUUCGGCUAUCACUUUUGGAUGGUCCCGCGGCGUAUUAGCUAGAUGGUGGGGUAACGGCUCACCAUGGCAAUGAUACGUAGCCGACCUGAGAGGGUAAUCGGCCACAUUGGGACUGAGACACGGCCCAAACUCCUACGGGAGGCAGCAGUAGGGAAUCUUCCACAAUGGACGAAAGUCUGAUGGAGCAACGCCGCGUGAGUGAAGAAGGGUUUCGGCUCGUAAAACUCUGUUGUUAAAGAAGAACAUAUCUGAGAGUAACUGUUCAGGUAUUGACGGUAUUUAACCAGAAAGCCACGGCUAACUACGUGCCAGCAGCCGCGGUAAUACGUAGGUGGCAAGCGUUGUCCGGAUUUAUUGGGCGUAAAGCGAGCGCAGGCGGUUUUUUAAGUCUGAUGUGAAAGCCUUCGGCUCAACCGAAGAAGUGCAUCGGAAACUGGGAAACUUGAGUGCAGAAGAGGACAGUGGAACUCCAUGUGUAGCGGUGAAAUGCGUAGAUAUAUGGAAGAACACCAGUGGCGAAGGCGGCUGUCUGGUCUGUAACUGACGCUGAGGCUCGAAAGUAUGGGUAGCAAACAGGAUUAGAUACCCUGGUAGUCCAUACCGUAAACGAUGAAUGCUAAGUGUUGGAGGGUUUCCGCCCUUCAGUGCUGCAGCUAACGCAUUAAGCAUUCCGCCUGGGGAGUACGGCCGCAAGGCUGAAACUCAAAGGAAUUGACGGGGGCCCGCACAAGCGGUGGAGCAUGUGGUUUAAUUCGAAGCUACGCGAAGAACCUUACCAGGUCUUGACAUACUAUGCAAAUCUAAGAGAUUAGACGUUCCCUUCGGGGACAUGGAUACAGGUGGUGCAUGGUUGUCGUCAGCUCGUGUCGUGAGAUGUUGGGUUAAGUCCCGCAACGAGCGCAACCCUUAUUAUCAGUUGCCAGCAUUAAGUUGGGCACUCUGGUGAGACUGCCGGUGACAAACCGGAGGAAGGUGGGGAUGACGUCAAAUCAUCAUGCCCCUUAUGACCUGGGCUACACACGUGCUACAAUGGAUGGUACAACGAGUUGCGAACUCGCGAGAGUAAGCUAAUCUCUUAAAGCCAUUCUCAGUUCGGAUUGUAGGCUGCAACUCGCCUACAUGAAGUCGGAAUCGCUAGUAAUCGCGGAUCAGCAUGCCGCGGUGAAUACGUUCCCGGGCCUUGUACACACCGCCCGUCACACCAUGAGAGUUUGUAACACCCAAAGUCGGUGGGGU